Molecule: long non-coding RNA, 3592 nt
Organism: Heterocephalus glaber (naked mole-rat)
Lineage: Eukaryota; Metazoa; Chordata; Mammalia; Rodentia; Bathyergidae
Source: Ensembl
CCUUGGGGCUGCCCUGGACAGCGCAGCAGAGGACAGUGGUGUAGCCAGCGAUGACUGGAGCGGUUCGCCAGGGGCUGGGUGAAGCUUGGGGGCUCGGAGAAGUCCAGGGCCUUGUACGUGGGUGGCUCAUAGGUGAUGCCUGUAGGCGACAGCACUUGGUACCGAGAGGGCCACCCAGACCAGCCUCUGCUCCCUGCACCGCUCCCUGGGCUGGGGGAGGGUGCGGCACCUGGUCUGGGGAUAAAGACAGGCUCCUUAGUGGCGUUGCCUGGACACUGGGCCCCACCAUGUUAUGGCUGAAGACCGGAAGUAGUAGCCGUUGCCCAUGAUGAGCUCGGGACACCACGCAGUGGGUGCGGUGGUAGUGCUCUAGGACGGUGAACCACUCCUGAGAGCGGAGCAAGCAGGUCUCCUGUACCUCUGUGCCCUCCUGUGGGAGCCUGACCGGCAGAGGAGGCCUGGGGGUCCCUGGGAAGGACGUGGGGAGGGCAUAGGGGUUCCCGCUCACCAUGGUCUUCUUGUCAGGCCUUCUGCACUGAGUACCCCCAGAGCUCGGUGUUGCCGUCGUCCCUCAGGUGGCUUCCACUCCAGGGCCACAUUGAAGCCCCAAGUUUCGGUGACCCGGAGGUGCUGGGGAGGACUCGCUUGUCUGUGGAGACAGAGCUGGCUGGAUCCCCACCCUUCCCUGGGCAAGAGCCGUGGACAGAUGGGGCCCUCCCCACGCCCGGGCCACGCACCCACGACCUGCAGCAGCAGUGUGGCUGAGUCCUCCAUGUUCUCAACGCGCACGGUCACCUGGUAGCUGCCCGAGUGCGCGCGGCGGGCGCGCGGAUGAACAGGAUGGUGUCGGAGGGGCUGUUGCGGAUGCUCACGUCCCCGUCGCCCAGCAGCUGCCCCUCUUGAUCCAGGUCACCUGAGGCCGGGGCUUUCCCUACAGGUGGGGACACUCAGCCCCAAGCCUGGCUGACCAAGCCUGACGCAUCUUGCCACCACCAGCUGGGCACCACCUACCUGGAAAGGGAUGGGGGAGGUUCACGGGCUCCCCGACCUGCCUCUGGAUGGCCUGGGCGCAGGUGCCGGGGCAGCUGGAGUCUCGGCCGCUCCUGAGGGACAGAGCGGUGGCUGAGCGGGGCCUUUCCGUGCCCCAGCCGCUCCCUACACAGGCCUGGCCCUGCUCACCCACGCAACUCCAGCUGCCCAGCCCCAAAGGUUGGCGAAGGUCCUGCCUCCCAAGCCUCCCACACCGCCUCAGGAGGCAGGGAUCAGAGAGGGUAAGCAGCUUGUGAGAGGUCACACUCAUGGCCAGUGUGCGGGUCUGGGCGUUCAGUCUGAAGCCCUGUGCCCUGUGUGCCCACCUGGAGAACCGGGCCUUACACGCUGGAUCCUUUGUUGGGACAAGGACUAGAGAGCGGGGAGGGGAUAGGGAGAUGACCAGUGCUGUCCCCAAGAGGCCUCCGCUUGGCCCCGCGGACUGGACAGGACCUGCCAGUUGGAGCUGAGAGACUCUCGGGACAGCGCGGAAGGGCACGGCCUGUCUCCCCAGGUCAGAACUGGGGACUGGCACGGAAAACCGGCGCACACCCAGCGGGGUGACCAGGGCACUCACGCAGAAUCUCCUGCACCGUCACCGCUCCUGGGUGGCCACGGGGGCCCCGGGCCCGGCCACAUUGUGCGCACGCACGCGGAACCUCAGCCUGGCGCCCGUGGGCAGGUCCUUCACCAGCAGCGCCGUGCGCUCCGUCCCAGCCCCUGCAGGGUGGCCACCCACUCGGAGCCUGGGCAGGGGAGCGGGGGUCAGCGGAAGGCACCAUGGGGUGGCCUGGGGUCCCGCCCCGGCGCGGCCACUCACAGCCCUCCCGGCAGUACUCCACGCUGUAGCCAUCCAGGCCGCCGCGCCCACGCGCUCCGGGGCGCCACUUGAGCGGAGACGGUCGUGUCCGGGACGUCGCCCACGACCAGGUGGGAUGGCUCCGCCAGGAGGCCCUGGGCGGGGGGACAGCGGGGAGGGUCGGAGGGAGACUGGUCCGGCCGGCAGGCGGAGGACCCAGGACCCGGCCCUUGGCUGCCCGCAGGCCACUCAGGGAGGACAAGACCCAAUGUCCCCUUCCCGAGGUCUUUCAAGCACCUCCAGAAGUUUGGCUGGCCGAGCCACAGUGGCGCACGCCUGUAAACCCGGCACUAUGGAGGCUGAGGCAGGAGGAUCGCCAGUUCAAGACCAGCCUGGGCUACAUAGUGAGUUCAAAACCAGCCUGGGCUAUAUAGUGAGUUCAAGGUCGCCCUGAACUACUUAGUGAGACCUUGUCUCAAAAACAAACGAAAAAAGGAAUAGUUGGCUGCAUCAAAAGACUUGUCUCUAAAGCCGGGGAGGCGGCGCAGUCCUGUAAAUCCCAGCACCUGGGAGGCGGAGACAGGAGGAUGGCCCAGCUGGGGCAAUUUAGCCUGACUCAAAAAUUUAAAAAUAAAUAAAUAAAAGCACUGGGGAUAUAGCUCAGUGUCAAGGCCUUGGGUUCGAUCCCCAGCACUGCAAACACGCGCUGAGCGCCUGCGGCCAGAGCCCCGCCCGCCGGGGCCCUCACCUAUGGGCAUGAAGGGCCGCGAGGCGGCACUGGGCCGGGACACGCCCACCGCGUUGACGGCGUAGACGCGCAUCUCGUAGGCCACGCCCUCGAUCAUGCGCCGCGCCUCGAGCCGCGGCUCGGGCAGCAGGUCGAAGUUGAGCCGCAUCCAGCGGUAGCUCUGCUUUUUCUUGCGCUCCACGAUGUAACCUGCAGGGCAGCGGCGCUCAGGCCGGGCCGCGCCGGCGCCUGCCCCCGGCCAGCCCGCCUCCCUGCCGGGACUCACCCAGCACCGGCUGCCCGCCGUCGAAGGCCGGUGGCGCCCACUGCACGGUGCAGGAGUCCUCGCCCACGUUGCUGAUCUCGGGGGCCGGAGGGGCAUCGGGCACGUCUGGGGGACACAUCAGCCGCGCUGGGCCCGCACCCCAGGGCCCACUGCCGCGCCCAGCCCCCGAAGCUGUCACCCCCCCACACAGCUCUUCCCUCCGCACAGGAGCCACGGGAAAUGACAUUUCUGCCUCUGCCUCUGCUGCGGUGGGGGGUUUCUUAUGGGUAGAAAAAGCCCGUCCCAUUCGGUUACCGUUGCCCUGUGAUGUUUGUUGAGUGGCUAAAUGAGCACAUAGGUGGAGGCCUUCCCUGCCCCCGUGGACCCCCGGAUGGCCUCACCGAUGACCUUCACUGUGAGGUUGACCUGGAUCCUCGCCCACAGGGUUCUUCACAGUGACAGUGUAGACGCCCGCCGUCUUCCCCUCUCUGCCCCCUCCACGGUGAAGACGCACCGGUCUUUGGUGGUCUCCACCCGGACCCGGCCCUUACGGUCUCACACAGCAGCUGAAAAGGAGGGAGAGUUGGGGACAGGACCCAUGUUGGGCCCCAGAGCCCCCUGCUGCCCUGCAGCAGCCAGCGGACCUGAGAUGCAAGGGGAGGACAGGGCAGGAGGGGACCAUGGCCAUGUACGAGAUCUAGUUCAGAAUGUAUCCCAGCACUCGAGAGGCUGAGGCAGGAGGGUCGACACAAGUCUGAGAGCAGCCUGGGCU